UCAGGAAUGAAGUUUUUAUUAAAGUGGCAACUUAAAAAAAUAAAAAGGUUUUAGCAGAAAUCAGCCAUGGAAAAUCAAAUAAAGCAAAAAAUUGAAGAAUGUUUCAAAGAGCUGCUAAGGAUGUUACCUAAAGAACUAAGGAAAUACAUUUCCGCUGUUGAAACUGGGCAAAAUCAUUUAACAUUGCUGAUUGCUCACACAGCUCAUUAUAAACAUGCUAAAUCUUCAAAUAUUGAAAAUACUGAAAUCUUUCAGAAGAAUCCUGGCAUCCAAUUAAAGCUUCUGCAUAACAUCAGCCUUGAAAUUGAUGAUGAAGAAAACAUGAUUUCAACAGUAUUGGAUCACUUCAAAAAAUGUAUUGGACUAUUAAGAACCAAUGUGAUAAAAUUUUGAAUUUAUAUCAAAGUAAUCUGUAUAUAAAUUUAAGCAUUGAAGAUGUAACUUCUGGAAGUGAAUCUUCAUAUUGCAUUGCCAAAAAAGUCGAAGCCGUAGAACAGUUCAAGAGAUUAUUUAGUAAGAUACAUUUAGCACGAAAAUAUACUCUUAAUUACCAUCAUAGUGGCGGUAAUUUAGAAAAGAUACAGGAUUUGUGGGAUGUAUCUAACCUUAUACUAGCUCAACAAGAUUUAACUUGUAUGAUUUCCAGCUGAAUUAAAAACAUUUCUGUUUUCCUACAGAAAAGUGUUACAUUGUUAACAAGUUUUCAUUAUCAAAGAAAAAAAAAUGGAGUCCAUCCACUAAAUUUGUCAGUGAAUUUUUAUUGUAUGCAAAAUAAUAUGCAUGCCAUUGAGAUAAUAAUAUGAUUUGUAUGUAAAAGUAAUGACAGAAUUCUUUUUUGUGUAACCUAUUUGGACCUUCCUGGUGAUGUUCUAUCUUACUAAAUCUUCAAAUGAACUCUUGCCUCAUCUGUAAAUGUUUCGUGUUGACAAUCAUGCAUCAUGUGCAUCAUGUGAUAUUGAAUUGCUCGUUAUAAAUGCCAUUAUAAUGGAAAA
Molecule: long non-coding RNA, 992 nt
Organism: Stegodyphus dumicola
Lineage: Eukaryota; Metazoa; Arthropoda; Arachnida; Araneae; Eresidae
Source: RefSeq, a predicted model, not a curated record